UGCGGAGUGGUGUAAUGGUAACACGCCUGACUCUGGAUCAGGUAAUUCAAGGUUCGAGUCCUUGCUCCGCAG
RNAcentral lists this transfer RNA (72 nucleotides) under Armatimonadota bacterium. RNAcentral describes it as "Armatimonadetes bacterium (groundwater metagenome) tRNA-Gln". It matches the Rfam family "tRNA". From Rfam's summary of the family: Transfer RNA (tRNA) molecules are approximately 80 nucleotides in length. Their secondary structure includes four short double-helical elements and three loops (D, anti-codon, and T loops). Lineage: Bacteria; Bacillati; Armatimonadota. The record is from RNAcentral.